This 118-nucleotide ribozyme is filed under the name Aedes aegypti (yellow fever mosquito). RNAcentral's name for it is "drz-agam-1 ribozyme". It matches the Rfam family "drz-agam-1 ribozyme". The record is from Rfam by way of RNAcentral. Lineage: Eukaryota; Metazoa; Arthropoda; Insecta; Diptera; Culicidae.
UGCUCAGCAACUCAUAUCCCUACCUCCUCGUGGUGCUGGGGUUGGGGUACGGCCAACCUUAAGGAAGAUCGGAUAACCAAACCCGUAGGGAACUUUGGUCGUAUGCUGACAGGGAGAG